This 253-nucleotide ribosomal RNA is filed under the name uncultured bacterium. RNAcentral describes it as "partial 16S ribosomal RNA". It matches the Rfam family "Bacterial small subunit ribosomal RNA", at positions 524 to 776 of the family's 1533-position model. The record is from RNAcentral.
UACGUAGGGUGCGAGCGUUAAUCGGAAUUACUGGGCGUAAAGCGUGCGCAGGCGGUUCGCCAAGUCAGGUGUGAAAUCCCCGGGCUCAACCUGGGAAUUGCGCUUGAAACUAGCGGGCUUGAGUGCGGCAGAGGGGGGUGGAAUUCCACGUGUAGCAGUGAAAUGCGUAGAGAUGUGGAGGAACACCGAUGGCGAAGGCAGCCCCCUGGGUCGACACUGACGCUCAUGCACGAACGCGUGGGGAGCAAACAGG